Molecule: long non-coding RNA, 500 nt
Organism: Spodoptera frugiperda (fall armyworm)
Lineage: Eukaryota; Metazoa; Arthropoda; Insecta; Lepidoptera; Noctuidae
Exons: 2
Source: RefSeq, a predicted model, not a curated record
ACCCGACUGCGCCAGAAGGAGGGUUAUGUUUUUCGAGUGUAUGUAUGUAUGUAUGUAUGUAUGUAUGUACGUAUGUAUGUAUGUAUGUAUGUAUGUAUGUAUGUAUGUAUAAUUGUUUGGCACGCUCUACAGCCUAAACGGCUUGAUGGAUUUUGACUUGAGAGGUGUCGUUAGAUUCGUAUUUACUGUGAGAGUGACACUGGGUAUAUCAAAAUAAUAAAAAAACAAAAUGGCGGAUUUUUGGCGCCAAAUUCGAAUAUUUCUCACUCUCUAGCCUAAACGUCUUGAUGGAUUUUGACUUGAGAGGUGUCGUUAGAUUCGUAUUUACUGUGAGAGUGACACUGAAUAUAUCAAAAUAAUAAAAAAAAACAAAAUGGCGGAUUUUUGGCGCCAAAUUCGAAUAUUUCUCACUCUCUAGCUUGGAUGGAUUUCCGCUUGAUAGGGGUCGUUUGAUUCGUAUUGACUGUGAGAGUGACACUAGAUAUAUCAAAAUACAAAAA